RNAcentral lists this ribosomal RNA (519 nucleotides) under uncultured Ferribacterium sp. RNAcentral describes it as "bacterial SSU rRNA". It matches the Rfam family "Bacterial small subunit ribosomal RNA", at positions 8 to 524 of the family's 1533-position model. The record is from RNAcentral. Lineage: Bacteria; Pseudomonadati; Pseudomonadota; Betaproteobacteria; Rhodocyclales; Azonexaceae.
AGAGUUUGAUCCUGGCUCAGAUUGAACGCUGGCGGUAUGCUUUACACAUGCAAGUCGAACGGAUUAAGAAGCUUGCUUCUUAGUUAGUGGCGAACGGGUGAGUAAUAUAUCGGAACAUAUCCGGAAGUGGGGGAUAACGUAGCGAAAGUUACGCUAAUACCGCAUAUGCCCUGAGGGGGAAAGGGGGGGAUCGCAAGACCUCUCGCUUUCGGAGUGGCCGAUAUCGGAUUAGCUAGUAGGUGAGGUAAAGGCUCACCUAGGCGACGAUCCGUAGCGGGUCUGAGAGGACGACCCGCCACACUGGAACUGAGACACGGUCCAGACUCCUACGGGAGGCAGCAGUGGGGAAUUUUGGACAAUGGGCGAAAGCCUGAUCCAGCCAUACCGCGUGAGUGAAGAAGGCCUUCGGGUUGUAAAGCUCUUUCAGCCGGAAAGAAAUCGUAUCUAUUAAUACUAGAUGCGGAUGACGGUACCGGAAGAAGAAGCACCGGCUAACUACGUGCCAGCAGCCGCGGUAAA